ACGAACGCUGGCGGCGUGCUUAACACAUGCAAGUCGAACGGAAAGGCCCUGCUUUUGUGGGGUGCUCGAGUGGCGAACGGGUGAGUAACACGUGAGUAACCUGCCCUUGACUUUGGGAUAACUUCAGGAAACUGGGGCUAAUACCGGAUAGGAGCUCCUGCUGCAUGGUGGGGGUUGGAAAGUUUCGGCGGUUGGGGAUGGACUCGCGGCUUAUCAGCUUGUUGGUGGGGUAGUGGCUUACCAAGGCUUUGACGGGUAGCCGGCCUGAGAGGGUGACCGGCCACAUUGGGACUGAGAUACGGCCCAGACUCCUACGGGAGGCAGCAGUGGGGAAUAUUGCACAAUGGGCGGAAGCCUGAUGCAGCAACGCCGCGUGCGGGAUGACGGCCUUCGGGUUGGAAACCGCUUUCGCCUGUGACGAAGCGUGAGUGACGGUAAUGGGUAAAGAAGCACCGGCUAACUACGUG
RNAcentral lists this ribosomal RNA (467 nucleotides) under uncultured bacterium. RNAcentral describes it as "partial 16S ribosomal RNA". It matches the Rfam family "Bacterial small subunit ribosomal RNA", at positions 29 to 507 of the family's 1533-position model. The record is from RNAcentral.